AUGAACGCUGGCGGCGUGCCUAAUACAUGCAAGUCGAGCGAACAGACGAGGAGCUAGCUCCUCUGACGUUAGCGGCGGACGGGUGAGUAACACGUGGAUAACCUACCUAUAAGACUGGGAUAACUUCGGGAAACCGGAGCUAAUACCGGAUAAUAUAUUGAACCGCAUGGUUCAAUAGUGAAAGACGGUUUUGCUGUCACUUAUAGAUGGAUCCGCGCCGCAUUAGCUAGUUGGUAAGGUAACGGCUUACCAAGGCAACGAUGCGUAGCCGACCUGAGAGGGUGAUCGGCCACACUGGAACUGAGACACGGUCCAGACUCCUACGGGAGGCAGCAGUAGGGAAUCUUCCGCAAUGGGCGAAAGCUUGACGGAGCAACGCCGCGUGAGUGAUGAAGGUCUUCGGAUCGUAAAACUCUGUUAUUAGGGAAGAACAAAUGUGUAAGUAACUAUGCACGUCUUGACGGUACCUAAUCAGAAAGCCACGGCUAACUACGUG
RNAcentral lists this ribosomal RNA (496 nucleotides) under uncultured bacterium. Its description in RNAcentral is "partial 16S ribosomal RNA". It matches the Rfam family "Bacterial small subunit ribosomal RNA", at positions 29 to 507 of the family's 1533-position model. The record is from RNAcentral.